This 428-nucleotide ribosomal RNA is filed under the name uncultured bacterium. RNAcentral describes it as "partial 16S ribosomal RNA". It matches the Rfam family "Bacterial small subunit ribosomal RNA", at positions 354 to 796 of the family's 1533-position model. The record is from RNAcentral.
GUGGGGAAUAUUGGGCAAUGGGCGCAAGCCUGACCCAGCAACGCCGCGUGAAGGAAGAAGGCUUUCGGGUUGUAAACUUCUUUGACCAGGGACGAAAAAAAUGACGGUACCUGGAAAACAAGCCACGGCUAACUACGUGCCAGCAGCCGCGGUAAUACGUAGGUGGCAAGCGUUGUCCGGAUUUACUGGGUGUAAAGGGCGUGUAGGCGGGAUCGCAAGUCAGAUGUGAAAUGCGGAGGCUUAACCUCCGAGCUGCAUUUGAAACUGCGGUUCUUGAGUGAUGGAGAGGCAGGCGGAAUUCCUAGUGUAGCGGUGAAAUGCGUAGAUAUUAGGAGGAACACCAGUGGCGAAGGCGGCCUGCUGGACAUUAACUGACGCUGAGGCGCGAAAGCGUGGGGAGCAAACAGGAUUAGAAACCCCUGUAGUCC